Molecule: ribosomal RNA, 301 nt
Filed under: uncultured bacterium
Lineage: Bacteria
Description: partial 16S ribosomal RNA
Rfam family: Bacterial small subunit ribosomal RNA
Source: RNAcentral
CAGUAGCCGCGGUAAUACGAAGGGGGCUAGCGUUGUUCGGAUUUACUGGGCGUAAAGGGCGCGUAGGCGGACUGAUAAGUCAGGGGUGAAAUCCCAAGGCUCAACCUUGGAACUGCCUUUGAUACUGUUUGUCUUGAGUUCGAGAGAGGUAAGUGGAACUGCGAGUGUAGAGGUGAAAUUCGUAGAUAUUCGCAAGAGCACCAGUGGCGAAGGCGGCUUACUGGCUCGAAACUGACGCUGAGGCGCGAAAGCGUGGGGAGCAAACAGGAUUAGAUACCCGCGUAGUCCCUGUCUCUUAUAC